UACGUAGGGUGCGAGCGUUAAUCGGAAUUACUGGGCGUAAAGCGUGCGUAGACGGUUAUGUAAGUCGGAUGUGAAAGCCCCCGGGCUUAACCUGGGAAUGGCAUUCGAGACUGCAUAGCUAGGAUGCGGAAGAGGGAAGUGGAAUUUCCGGUGUAGCGGUGAAAUGCGUAGAUAUCGGAAGGAACGCCGGUGGCGAAAGCGGCGCGCUGGACCUCUUCUGACGCUGAGGCGCGAAAGCUAGGGGAGCAAACGGG
Molecule: ribosomal RNA, 254 nt
Filed under: uncultured bacterium
Lineage: Bacteria
Description: partial 16S ribosomal RNA
Rfam family: Bacterial small subunit ribosomal RNA
Source: RNAcentral